AAAUAAAUAAAUAAAUAAAUAAAUAAAUAAAUCAAGCUAAAUUAAGGUAAUAUAGCGCUAUAAUAAACCCAAAUAAUUAUUCAUAUAUCAUUAUUCCACUAUUACAGAGCAAAAAGGUCAAUAUAGUUAUUAAUAGGAUACAUUACAGCACUGUAUAUAUAAUAAUAUAUACAACAAUAACUAUAUAUAAUAUGAAAUCUAUAACGUGAGGUGAACCCUUUUAACCCUCAAGUGUGUGCCAACUGACUGUCGCGAAAAAAGCUUUUUCAAAGGGAAAAAAGUGACGUACAAUUUCAAUCAUUAAGACCGCGAAGCGAAUCAAAUCCGGCGGAUUUACAGACGCCGCGGUCGGCGCGGUGUCUGUCGUACGCUUGUAUUUAAGAUCAUAAAUAGACGGACAGAACGCCAGGCCACGUUCUCCGAGCUUCUCCGAGCGAGAACGUGGAUUAAGCGGGUCAAGAGUUCAGCGUCGGGGUUCGGAUUUCUCCAGAGAGCCGACGUCCUGCUUCAUCGGUUACUCUUAAUUCCUUUUCAUUUGGUUUAUGUAAAUCUCGGGGAAACGCAUUACGUCUCGCAGCCUCGUUUAUUAAACCACAAAAGACACGAAGUUGUUCAUCAGAGUUUGUCGCAAACCUGUUCUCAUUUAGACUGAGCGAUGUGUGUGUGUGUGUGUGUGUGUGUGUGUGUGUGUGGUUUCUUCUGCCCGAACAUCCAGCAGGGAUAUGCUCAUCUGGAGACGAACUCUAAUGAGGCAAAUAAUGAUUUGUGUCUUCCAACGAGAUCCUCCAGUGAAGGAGUAAACGGAUUACGUAAAUACAAUAAAUACAGAUAAUCGUACAAUUCCCUUCGCCGUGGCUUAAUUACCCCAAACCGACGCCAUGCACUUUAUUUAUUUUGAUUCAGUAAUGGCAUUGCAAUCAAUUAGGCCGUAAUGCUGCCAGCUGCUUUCUGCGUGUGUGUGUGUGUGUGUGUGUGUGUGUGUGCAGCUGUUUAGCUGAACUGAACCACAUUAACCGUUAUUAAUGGAUAAAUGAUUUCCCCUCUCUCUGAACGCAUACGUGAGUAAGUGUGUGUGUGUAGACGUGUGUGUGUUGUGUUCUGAUUUGGAUCAGAUACGAAGGCGCAGGAGAUGCGGUCGUGGUACGGGUUAAAGGGAGUGAUGGGGAUUUUAAAGAAAAGCUGAAUUUCAGCCGGUGAUGUUUCUCAUUCUGUAAAAACUUUAUUGACUCGUGUCUGUUUCCCGAAGAGAGAGUCGGCACCGUCGAACACCGCGUUUAGACUUUUUCACGCUCGGUUGAAGUUAUAAAGAACGAAAGGCCCAGAUCCGGCCCAGAUCCGGCCCACGCCUGACACGUUCAUCCGGCCCACAUACCGCGUGGAAUGAUGACACUUGGGCGGUCCGCUCCGGGUUGCCAGAUUUGGGCCAGAAGCAAGCCGUAGCAAUGCCGCAUGCGCAACACUUUUUGCAAAGGUGGCCCACAUUUGUUUUGUGAUAUUUGGGCCAUAUUCACUAUUCCCCACACGGGCCGCUUUAGGGUCACGUCCAGAUCACACACUGCCGUGAGCGCCGCAUCGCUGCCUAAAAAGAGAAACGCUUGUGAUUCAGGAUAUUUGGGCCAUAUUUGCUUAUUUUUGUCCGAGCCAAAAGAAGGCCAGCAGCACUGCCUGAAGUGGCCCACAUCCGCAUGCCAUCUGGGCGUGGCCAAGCUAAUCUAACACAUGAUUGGGUGGUAGUUACACCCAUCGACUCGGACACACAAGUAACAAACAAGCCAUCAAUUUGCUAGUGAGUAAUUCUUGUAGACGUUAUAAAGUCCGUACGGGAUUUCACCAAGUUUAUUUUGUGAUCGGCCGACCGAAGACGCUCGCUUCUGCAAAGACUUUUUCGCAGCGAUGUUAGUUGGUAAACGAGACCUUUUAGCCGUACUCGUGUAGGACGCACGUGAAUCGAAGACGGCUUCGACCGAACACGUGUCGCGGCGACGUCACGUGACGCAUGACUUGACAACGGAAAUAGUUAGUUGUUGCGUAACGUGACUCGCAGCUCAGGUUCUGUCUUUGUUGCUGGUGUUUAUGCAAAAAUCCCUUAAAAACCCCAACGAGUGUCAUGUUCACGUUCUCCAUCACGGUAAAUACCUCAUGCAUUUUCAGGCAGUCUAACCACACACACACACACACACACACACACACACACACAGGCUCCCUGCGAGCGCCUUUAAAUGAAAGCAUGUUUAAUUAAUGAUGCUGAAGUUCUCCGUCACAAUUAAGAAGAUGAACGGUCAAACAAGGCACCGGAGAAAAGCCCUGACGAUGAAAAGUUUGUCUUCCUAAAGUGCUGCUGAGGAUACAGUAACCUGACACACACACAAACACACACACUUUUACUGCACUUGACACUGACAGAUAUGACAGGAGGAUUUAUAGCGGAGCUGAAACACCUCGCGUUCAGCGUGAUGUAUGUGACUAUAAAAAAUACGAAUAAAUUAAAAAUGAAAAAAAAAAAAUGCUGUCCAUCAUUUAAUAGCUUCGAGGAGAAAAUACGACUCGAGGCUUCGUCUCCAACACGCAGCUCCAUGCCGACUCUAAACAUAUAAACAAGCUUUCGUGCUUGUUCUGUGCAUGCUGUGAUCUCAUGUGUUACCCAUAAUGCACUGCGAGCAGAUCGUCGUAAUAUAGGCAGACAGCGGCGGACGUGCGUAAGACGUGAACUCACGACGUUCUGACAGGAGUGUGUAACAGCUAGUGAUUGUGAUUUAGGUUUUGGUGAACAAACCCGAGUCAGUAAUUCUUAAUAACAAAAAUACCGAUCAGUCUGGGUUAGGGUUAGCCUCGGGUUAGGAGUAGACUAGGAUUAGGAUUAGCCUAGGGUUAGGGUUAGCCUAGGGUUAGGGAUUAAAGUUAGCCUAGGGUUAGGGUUAGCCUAGCGUUAGGGAUUAGGGUUAGGGUUAGCCUAGGGUUAGGGUUAGCCUAGUGUUAGGGAUUAGGGUUAGGGUUAGCCUAGGGUUAGGGAUUAGGGUUAGCAUAGGGUGAGGGAUUAGGGUUAGGGUUAGCCUAGCGUUAGGGAUUAGGGUUAGCCUAGUGUUGGUUAGCCUAAGGGAUUAGGGUUAGGGUUAGGGUUAGCCUAGGGUUAGGGAUUAGGGUUAGCCUAGGGUUAGGGUUAGCCUACUGUUAGGGAUUAGGGUUAGGGUUGGCCUAGGGUUAGGGUUACCGUAGGGUUAGGGAUUAGAGUUAACCUAGGGUUAGGGUUAGGGUUAGGGUUAAGGAUUAGGGUUAGCCUAGGGUUAGGGUUAGCCUAGGGUUAGUGAUUAGGGUUAGGGGUUAGGGUUAGCCUAAUCCAAACCCAGUCUCAUGACGUUAUUAUUAUCAUAUCGAUGCGAUGUUGUAUACGGCGCUAUCGUGUGCUAGUUAGCCUUUUAGCAAGUAAGCAGACAAUUAGCCAGCUGUGAUACGAUAGAAUAAAACGAUGAUUUAUUUUUAGCGUCAGGGUUCUGGGAGGUAAUUAAUCUGAUGACGGUUCAGGAAAAAGCUUCCUCGGUUCUCUAAACAGAGAGGAGAAGGCGAGUAAAAAUGGAGCGAGAGAGAGAGAAAGAGAUGAGAGAGACGCAAAAGGCACAGAGACAGAAAAGAAAGACAAAGAGAGAGAUAAUAAUAAUAAGAAGAAGAAGAGGCAGAUAGAGACCCAGAAGAGAAACUGAAGAGAUCGAGACAGAGAAGGAAGGAAAAGAAGAGACAGACCGAGAGUGAGACAGUCCGAAGGAGAGAGAGAGAGACAGAAACAGAAAAGUAGAGUGAGACAGAGAGAGUGAGACAGACAAGGGAAGGUGUCAAUUAAAGGAAUGAAGGCUGGUGUGUGUGUGUGUGUGUGGUGUUGACAGCUGGCUGGAGUCGAGCUGACAGCCGUCACAUUAAGCAGCUUUGGUGGCCUGCACACACGCGCACACACACACACACACACACACACACACACACACACACACACGUCUGAAAGUGGAGGCUCUGGUGCUGCAGUGAUUAGCGUUGAACCCCUGCAGCUAUCGCUAAUAACAGUUAUUAGCAUCUGUAGAGUUCUGGGAGAGUUUUUACACUCUGAUCAGGUUUAGAGUUUCAACAACCACCGAACAACCCCUGAACAUCCACUGUAUGACCACAGAAAACCCCUGUAUAACCACUGAACCAGCACACAACCACUGAACCGGCAUGGAACAUUCACAGUACAACCACAAAAAAUACUGUACAAGCACAGAAGCACCACUGAACAACCAGCGUACAGCUACAGUACAACCCCUGAACAUUCACUGUACAAACACUGAACAACCAACAUACAACUAGAGUACAACAACCGAAUAACCCCUGAACAACCCCUUAACAUUCACUGUACAACCAGCAUACAACAACACAACCACAAACUAAACAACCACAAAAAACACUGUACAACCGCUAAACAGCCGCUGAGUACUGACAGUACAGCCGCACUCUUUCUGAGACAGCGCUGUUUAAAAUAAUCUCUUUACCACAAACAGACAGGAAGUAGCUGAUGUGGUUCACUGUAAUGAUUUCUUCAGUGUUAAUUCUUUAUUGAUUGAUUUUUUUUUCCCCAUUAAUAAAUAAAUGUUUUUUCUUUGUUUUUUUUACAACAUAAAAUAACGUUCUUCAGAUAUGAAAUAAAGUAUGAUCAAACAGGUUUUUUUAGAAUGCUACACCAGCGUGUCGCUGUCGUGUUCGUACACACAGCGUAUCAGGAUGCACGCCGCGUCUCGCACAGACCCGCGUGACGAUCCGGAUCUGAUCUCAUGGUAUCUCCAGAUCGUACUGGACCUGGAGCUUUCGCUCCACAUUAUUAUUUUAAUCCCUCAUUUCAAAAAGAAAAAGACGGAGAAAGAACAAAGUCCUUUUCUGAACUUGUGGAAAAAUGUUUCAAUGUAGAGAGCCACAGAGUAUACAGUACAGAACUAUACAUAUAUAC
Ictalurus punctatus (channel catfish) is the source of this 4963-nucleotide long non-coding RNA. Lineage: Eukaryota; Metazoa; Chordata; Actinopteri; Siluriformes; Ictaluridae. The record is from Ensembl.